ACUUCAAUGAAGCAGUGAUUGAAGAAGAAAAGAAAUUGUUAGAGAACAUUGAAAAGUGGGAAGUAAUUCAAGAACAAAUAAUGAGACAGAAGUCAAGAGCAAACUGGAUCAUUGUUAGAGAACAUUGAAAAGUGGGAAGUAAUUCAAGAACAAAUAAUGAGACAAAAAUCAAGAGCAAACUGGAUCCAGCUGGGUGAUAGCAAUAAAAAGUACUUCCAUGCAUAUAUGACGUCCAUACAAGCAAGAAAUAGGGUGAGCAACAUUCUCAAAGACAACCAGAU
This 281-nucleotide long non-coding RNA is filed under the name Nicotiana benthamiana. RNAcentral describes it as "long non-coding RNA (NBEN_LNC007823)". The record is from RNAcentral. Lineage: Eukaryota; Viridiplantae; Streptophyta; Magnoliopsida; Solanales; Solanaceae.